RNAcentral lists this ribosomal RNA (166 nucleotides) under uncultured bacterium. RNAcentral describes it as "partial 16S ribosomal RNA". It matches the Rfam family "Bacterial small subunit ribosomal RNA", at positions 1335 to 1500 of the family's 1533-position model. The record is from RNAcentral.
GCUGUAAUCGCAGAUCAGCAUGCUGCGGUGAAUACGUUCCCGGGCCUUGUACACACCGCCCGUCACACCAUGGGAGUCGGUAACACCCGAAGUCGGUAGUCUAACCGAAAGGAGGACGCCGCCGAAGGUGGGAUUGAUGACUGGGGUGAAGUCGUAACAAGGUAGC